Molecule: ribosomal RNA, 1260 nt
Filed under: Triticum aestivum (bread wheat)
Lineage: Eukaryota; Viridiplantae; Streptophyta; Magnoliopsida; Poales; Poaceae
Description: partial small subunit ribosomal RNA
Source: RNAcentral
AUGCGGAGACCCAGGCGGUGUUCAUCGGCACCGACUUCCGUCGCCGACAUGACCAUGCUGCGCUACUUCGCCCGGCUCAAGGAGUACGCCGAUCAGCUGGCUGACCUCGGCUUCCCCGUUGACGACAAGGCGCAGGUGAUGAACAUGUUCCGUGGCCUCAACCCACGGUACUUCUACGCCAUCCCGAUCCUCACGAUGCAGGUCCCCUUCCCAUCGUUUCUGCGCUGCCGCGCGUUCCUGAUCCUGGAGGAAUCGCGCCUGAACAUGGCGUCGCCCGCGCCAACUGACAUGGCUCUGCAUGCUGGCCGUGCACCCGCUGCUGCUGCACCGGCGCCGGCGCCGGCGCCCCCAACCAACUCCACUCGCAACGGCAACCGGAACCGGAACAAGGGCAAGGGCAAGGCGGUCCAGUCGUCCGGCUACGCCGACGGCUCAUCCAGCGGCUCAUCGUCAACUGGCGGCCUGCCAGCAGGGCGCCUCGUCCAGCUUCCUGCACCCGCCACGAACCCAUGGACGGGCAUGGUUCACGCCUGGCCCAUGCCGUGGCGUGCUCACGCUCCCGGAGCUGGCGUCCUCGGCCCGCGCCCUGGCGCUCCAUCACCGUUCGCCGGACACGCCGCCCACUACGCGCCGCCGCCACCGCCCCCGGCUGCACCCACCUACCAAGGUGCGGCCUGGGACCAAUCAGCGUUGGUUCAGGCCCUCAACAACCUGUCGCUCCAACAGCAGCAGGCGCCGCCGCCGCCAUCGAGUGAGUGGUACCUCGACACCGGCGCCACGUCGCACAUGUCGUCCUCGUCAGGUAUGCUCUCCGAUCUCAGUCCCUCUUCUUCCCGUAUAGUUUUUGGCAACGGCAACACGCUGCCAGCCCUGCACUCCGGCCACCUCGCAAUACCAACAUCUACCACACCCAUCCACUUACACAACGUUCUUGUCUCUCCCUCACUAAUCAAAAACCUCAUAUCUGUUAAAACUCUCUGUCGUGAUAAUCCUGUUAAUGUCGAGUUUGACGAUUUCGGUUUUUCUAUCAAGGACCGACGAACCCGGAGGGUGAUCCUCCGAUGUAACUCCACCGGCGACCUGUACCGCGUCAGCGUGCCCCCGCUCCACUGCAGCCUCCACGCCCACGCCUCCAUCUCUGCCGAUGUCUGGCACCGGCGACUCGCCACCCAGGACGCACCACGCUUGCUCGGGCGCUUCGAUCCAUCGCCCCUGGCGCUCAUGAUGCACCAGCUCGUACUUGUCAUGCAUGUCAAUUAG